UUGGAGGGCAAGUCUGGUGCCAGCAGCCGCGGUAAUUCCAGCUCCAAUAGCGUAUAUUAAAGUUGUUGCAGUUAAAAAGCUCGUAGUUGAAUUUCGGGAUCAGUACGCUGGUCGUGCCUUCGGUAUGCACUGGUGUCACUGGUUCCUACCUUCUGAAGAACCAUCAUGCCAUUCAGUUGGUGUGGCGGGGAAUCAGGACUGUUACUUUAGAAAAAUUGAGUUGUUUAAAGCAGGCAUACGCUUGAAUACAUUAGCAUGGAAUAAUGAAAUAGGACGUUUGACCC
This 284-nucleotide ribosomal RNA is filed under the name Glomus sp. Its description in RNAcentral is "partial small subunit ribosomal RNA". It matches the Rfam family "Eukaryotic small subunit ribosomal RNA", at positions 548 to 837 of the family's 1831-position model. The record is from RNAcentral. Lineage: Eukaryota; Fungi; Glomeromycota; Glomeromycetes; Glomerales; Glomeraceae.